UUUCAUAUAUUAAGGUUUUAGUUAUGAUACUCCCAAUACAAUUUCUCAGAAAUCUGCAGAUUUUUACCAAAACUUUCCUCAGAAAUAGCAAAGAUUGUCCGUGGAUUCAGUCUGGCCCUACUCAUGGGUAAAAGUACGAUGCUGUUGCAACUGUCCCCAAUUACAAUAUUCAUUUAAAAGUUUGUCAUUACAAUUACAUUACAAUUUAAAUUUUAUUACAGUUUCAAUGUAAUUUGAUUUCAAAGAGUGAAUUAUUUGAUUAAUUAAUUAAUUUUAAAGUUGCAGUUUAAUAAAGUAGUUUAGUAAAGUUUCAGUCUUGAGUUUCAGUAAAGACAUUUUUGUUCAGGUUUUUUUGUAGGCCUGAUAAAUGGCCAAAACAUAGUUGUUGCUUUUACUUUUACUAGUCAGUAUUAUAUGUUCAAUUUACCAAAUCUAACAAUUUAACCAACUUACAUAUAGCCUGAAAACGUAAAUAACACCCAACCUGAUGUUCUGGAACUUGUUUUAUCAACAUUUCAAUGUUGCAACUGUCCCCAUGGGUUGUUGUUGCAACCAUCCCCCUGCUUGGGGGCAGUUGCAAGAUUUGACUUUGUCUGUUCAAGUUUAAAUCCUGCAUAUAUUACCAUAUGUAAAAAUAUUAUAACAAUGUGGGUUGGUGUCUGAUAGAUGUGGGUUUAUUAUUUAAAAAUUUAGAGUUUAGAGAAACGGAAAGAAAUGCAAAAAGUGUUGCAACUGUCCCCACUCUCCCCCACCUUUCCUCUGCCAACCGAAAAUAAUAGCCAAUCAUUUCAUGGCAUAUUGAACAAAAUUACUGUCCAAUCACAUUUUCCAUAUCGAUCGAGUUGAAGAAAAAGGCGGGACUUGAGAUGAAGUCGGAAAUAAAUAAAAAAAAAUAGUUACAGUUGACAUAACAAAAGAAAAACAGGAAUCAACAUUAGGAGCCAAAGGUAUGUUGAAAGAGUACACCAUAUCGCCUCAUAUAAUCGCUGAAUCGGUGUUUCAACCACCGAACGACGUCAAUAAAUCCUUUGGAAAACCAUAAAGCCAUUCACGAUAUGUUUACAUCAGGAGAGCAAACUGAGUAGCUUAUAAUGUACAGUAGUGCUACAAUAUAUCCAUUUGAGGUGGAUUAAAAAAAAAAGUUCAUCAAGUUGUUCAAAGACAAUAAUGGUUGCUCAUUUUGGUUUAAGGACAACUUUAAUGAAAGAUUUUAGUCCUCCUAAAAUGUUUACCUACUGUAUAUCCAUCCCAUAUUACUCUCUGAUAGGAGAUCUAAAAUCAGAAAAAUAAUAACAAUAAAUUAGAAAAAAAUGAAAAAAAAAAAUAGAAAUCUGGCCAUCCUACUUAACUGUCAGUUUGAAAGAUGCAUUUCGCUCCCAUCCACAGGUCUGUGUGAAAUACAGGUCCCUCUUUUCAGAAAACAUUCUCGCCCUCUAAUGAAAUCGAACAUCAUGCCGAUCGAUAUAGUUUUUGACUUGAUCCCAUCAGCAAAUCCCAAAGAGAAGGAGGAAUAAUGCCAUAAUGAGAGAAAGUAGGACUCCUGCCGUUUUC
This is a non-coding RNA of Danio rerio (zebrafish), 1551 nucleotides long. Lineage: Eukaryota; Metazoa; Chordata; Actinopteri; Cypriniformes; Danionidae. The record is from RefSeq and is a predicted model, not a curated record.